UGGCAAUCUUGUCCGUCCAUUUUUCACUGGUGGAGUAGUCAAGGACGCGAGGCCCUCGCGCUACCCGUUUUUUAUCCACGGGUCGAUGAAGCCCAUCCGGCCCGGCGUUGGCGCGUCGUGCCCUAUCCCAAUCCUCUCCAAUCCAGCAGCCGCCGCCUCUCCCGCUCCCCGCCCGUCGCUCCCGCUUCCGCAGCCGUGGCUCCCGCUCCCCGCCCGUCGCUCCCGCUCCCCGCCGUCGGUCUCCUCGCCCGCCCUCGUCCCCGUCGCAGCACGCCGCCGCGCUAUGGGAGGAGCGGCUCGGCUGGGCAGGAACUUGUGUGUGGCGGCGGAACACGAUGUCGACGGUCCGGAGGUUCGGGAUGGCGGCGGAACACGAUGUCGACGGUCCGGAGGUUCGGGAUGGCAGCGGCGGCCGCCGCGUUCAUCGCCUUCGCGGCCUUCGCAUCGGCGUCGGCGUCCAGGCCGGCCUCCUUCGUCAAAUCCACCGUCAAAGCACGCGACGUCGUGAUCUUCUCCAAGUCAUACUGCCCGUAAGGCCCUCUCCCGUCUCCCCUCAGUCCUCGAUUCGAGUUAAUCCUCUCCCUGUUUGCGCUGGUGAGCCACGACACUAGGAUCUGAUUGCGGUGCUGUAAAUUGUCUGGUUAGGGCUUCAAUUGUAUAAUGGUGAGAGUUUUUUUUUUGUUAGGAACAGAGAGAAUUGAUUUCCUUUGCAGGAUCCAAAACUGUAGAUCGGUCGACUUUUGAAGAUCCAGGUAUUCAUCCGUUUCUUGAUUCUUGAAACAGUAAAUGUUGGUACUAUAGUUAACACUGGGUGUUAAUGCGGUCAUCUGGCCUUACUUUGUGUUUGUGAUCCAAGUGUAUAAUAGGUCACAGUUCUUGAGAAUUGAGACGCUAAGUGAUAAGAGAAGUGAGAGUUAACUUUUUACUCUGCUUGUUUGAUCUGUCAAAAAUUACUCUAUUUUGUCUGUUGUAGUUAAUCUAACAAGGCUUUUGUGUCAUGUCAUAGACACUAGGCGAUUGCAGGAGAAUCUGGUCAUCUACUUUCCUUUUAGAACGCCCUGUUAUGUCAGCUUGUUCGAUCUGUUAGUGAUUCUUCAGUCUGAUUAGCUCACAUGAAUUUCUUGCAAGUAUAAUGAAAAAGCCCUUAACUCAAAUGUCUGUAUGAAGUUGCGUAUUUCACCACUUAUAUGGUCAGAUAACAUGAAACCUUUAAAUGGGAAGACACUGAUGUAACUGAGAUAUGAAUAUCGAAUUGUAAUUCUGGGAGAGAAUAAUCAAUUAUGAGGAUACUGCCCAUAGAUGCAAAACCCAACUACUUGACUGUUGUGGUACUGCCAGAAGAAACUCUAUGUUUAAGUACCUCGACUUCUGCAGGUAUUGUAGAAGGGAAACAUUAUCGGCUGCAUCCAUUUUCUCUCAUCUCUUUCCUUUAUUUUCCACUCUGCAGGUUCAGUUGCAUGUUUGUCUGCUGAUUUGUUCAUCACGGAAGGGUUUAGGGUAAAAGAGUAAGAAGAUGAUAAAAUGUGGUCUUACAUAUGGAUUUACACUGCAACUGAAUUGUUAUUUUUUUUACCAAUUCCUAUAUAUAUUCAGGCCUUUUAUUUUUGCCUUUGUCAAUAUCAGUGCAGUAUUAGGUGAUGUUUUCGUUUAGGCAUAGCCUUAUGAAAUCCCGUUUCGCUGCAGUUCUUCACCUCUGUUUUGGUGGUUUUCCAGUUUAGGCACAUCCAUACCAAUGUGUUAUUUGUAUAGAUAAUCUGGUUGUUUGUUAUUUCCAUCUUGAACAAUGCAAGAUGAUCAAUACAUGUCAUUAGCUGGUUAGCUCAUGACUGAAAUGGGCUACCUUGGCCAGGAACAUCAUGUGUCCUUUAAUUUCUGGGGUUGAAGUCAUUUAGUUUCAGUAUCAAAAAUUCUUGAAUUGGGGGGAGGGGAACUUGGCGAUUCAUGGCAGAGAGGAAAGAGGGGUAUAUUAAAGGUCUGAUCUAUACAAUACAAGGUAAACAUAAUUUAGGUAUAUCACACUUGAGGCGUUUCUCCUUUUAUGAAAUAUAGUACAGUAAUCAUACAUUUUGGUUUCUGCAAUAAUUUUCAGUUGCUUCUAAUAUUGUUUGAUUUCUUUCACAUAAACAGAAGUACACGUUACCCCUUUUAAUUAAUACUUAUUAUUUCCACACCGUAAAUAGUAUUUUUCUUAGAACACAACAUUAUGGUCCCAUUUUUUACCAUCUGCAUGUUUAGUAUAUUCCUUUCAUAUACAAUGUAUAAAUCCUUAAAUAGUUCUCUGCAGCAUGUAUUUACAUUCUUAGUUCCGGACGUCAUUGGAUUUAUGUUGCGGGUGAAAGAACAAUGGAUCAGAGCUUAAGGUAGUUUAUGUAAAAAGUUUGUGGUCACUGUUUCCAAUAUAUGUUGGAUUUCUAGGUAGGUUCCGAGAUACACGCCAUGAAUGUUCUUAAAUGACUCAGCUGUCCUACUAAUUUUACUACCCACUUUUAAUUGUUCAAAACAAAAUCUAAGAGACGAAAAUGGUAUUUAAAUAGUUAUUUCUAGACCAUGGUGUGUAAAUACUGUAAAGUAAGCUUUGCUACUGAUUGAUUUUAUGAGAAAUCUCUUUGCGAAUAUUUCCUGUGGGGUCUAUCAUCAGUAAUCAUUCAGGCUUCUUCUAGGCACAUUUUAUAGAGGUUUAUGAUCGGUGGGGAACAUCUAUCUCAGCUCUCCAUUCUUCCUCUGGCCUCCUUUCAUGUUGUCAUUCCAGAGGUCAAAAUCUGACUUAGUGAAGAUGAUCGUUUCCCCGCUUAUUAUCGGUCUGAACCUUAAUAUCAGUGAAAGAGUGCUCGACGAUGAAAUUAUGUAUGACACAGAUGAGCUUUUUCUAGAUCAAGCAGCAAGAAAAUUAACCAUGUGAGUUUUUUUGGUGUGUUUUAUAGUAAAUAUUAAUUACUAACCUAUAUAAAUAUGAUGCAUCUGUUUAUAGGUACUGGCUUGCUUUUGAAUAUUGUUGCAGAUAAAGCACUAAAAUCAAUGUAGCAUUAUCAAUUGGGCACAGUUAGUAUCUAUAGCAGUAGCUGGUAAGAACUAAAUCUACCGUAGAGAGCAAGUACUGUUUAGUCUACAAAUGUCUUUUAAUCAAUGAGUUCUAUCUUUUUGACAGAUAUGCACAUGAUGCACCUGUUUUUGCUUAUGAUAGGUUUUCACUUGCUUUUGAAUAGUUGAUGCCAACCUCUUAAAGUGUGGAAGACUGUUUAAUCAUGGCUAUUACUACAACUGUUAGACUUGAGCCUUUUCUUUAUAACUCGAAAUAAUUUUUAUUUCACAUCGUUUGCA
Long non-coding RNA from Lolium perenne, 3318 nucleotides. RefSeq lists it as uncharacterized. The record is from RefSeq and is a predicted model, not a curated record. Lineage: Eukaryota; Viridiplantae; Streptophyta; Magnoliopsida; Poales; Poaceae.